RNAcentral lists this unclassified non-coding RNA (219 nucleotides) under uncultured Thelephoraceae. RNAcentral describes it as "sequence contains ITS2". The record is from RNAcentral. Lineage: Eukaryota; Fungi; Basidiomycota; Agaricomycetes; Thelephorales; Thelephoraceae.
ACACCUCAACUCCUCAUGGCUUGCCAUGAUGAGCUUGGACUUUGGGGGUCUUGCUGGCCAGUGGUCGGCUCCUCUCAAAUGAAUCAGCUUGCCAGUGUUUGGCGGCACCACAGGUGUGAUAACUAUCUACGCUUGUGGUUUCCUGCUGGGCAUCCUUCAGCAAUGGAGGUUCACUGGAGCUCAUAAACGUCUCUCCACAGCGAGGACAACUUCUUGAAU